Molecule: ribosomal RNA, 253 nt
Filed under: uncultured bacterium
Lineage: Bacteria
Description: partial 16S ribosomal RNA
Rfam family: Bacterial small subunit ribosomal RNA
Source: RNAcentral
UACGUAGGGUGCAAGCGUUGUCCGGAAUUAUUGGGCGUAAAGAGCUCGUAGGCGGUUUGUCGCGUCUGCUGUGAAAACUCGGGGCUUAACCCCGGGCCUGCAGUGGGUACGGGCGGACUAGAGUGCGGUAGGGGAGACUGGAAUUCCUGGUGUAGCGGUGAAAUGCGCAGAUAUCAGGAGGAACACCGGUGGCGAAGGCGGUCUGCUGGGCAGUUGCUGACACUGAGGCGCGACAGCGUGGGGAGCAAACAGG